AGUACACAGCGAAGAUCCCCCUGGGUAGAUGUUCUCGCACGUAGUCUAGUUCUCCUUGCGAGAAGGUCAUAUUGACAAAAUGGGGUUGGUCAAUACUAGUACCAAUACCAUUAUAAACUGGAUAAGCGUUGCUCGAAUUCAGCCGGUGCAUGUUCUCAGGAUUUCGCGAUAAUCUGAAUUGUCAGGGAUUUCAUGCUCUGUCAUCGCUCCAAGCUUCGAGGUUACGUCCGUUUUUUGAUGUGAAUAUUGAGGCUUUGGUGACGUGCAGUUCCCAGACAUCUUACCAUUUUCAUUUAUUUCUACUGGAUUGAGGUUGAAC
RNAcentral lists this small RNA (319 nucleotides) under Histoplasma capsulatum var. duboisii H88. RNAcentral's name for it is "Histoplasma capsulatum H88 hypothetical RNA". Lineage: Eukaryota; Fungi; Ascomycota; Eurotiomycetes; Onygenales; Ajellomycetaceae. The record is from RNAcentral.